AUGGAAAUUGAUUAUUGUGAAAUGGUUGAGUCCCCAUUCGGCAGGAGGCUGCAGCAAGGACAGUCAGCAUUGUCCAUUCAUCAACGGUCAUCUAGUAUGCCCGAGGUGUCAUCAUCAUCGCCCGGAGCAGUGCUAGAGCAUUUAGAAGAACUAACACUAAAUAUGUGUUAUGGCUUAACGGGGGUCCUCCAUCUCCAUCCGUCCCUCAAGGAGCUAGUAAUUCGUCGCUGCGGUGGGUUGACAUCUCUGGAAUCCCGCUCGGGAGAGCUCCCGUCGCUGAAGCUCCUCAGUCUUUCUGAAUGCCUUACGCUGUCAUCCCUACCGGAUGGGCCAGUAUCAUACUUACUUCUCGAAUAUCUUGGCAUUAGCUACUGCCCUGAUCUGAAGACGCUUCCUGCAAGCCUGCAAAAACUGCUGGGCAGCAUUGAGAGGGAAUAUGUAGAUGCUCAUUAUUAUGGAAAUAAGCCUAUACUGCUGAAACCAAAGACAUGGAAGUAUGCCAACCGUAGAGAUUAG
This 516-nucleotide ribosomal RNA is filed under the name Triticum aestivum (bread wheat). RNAcentral describes it as "partial small subunit ribosomal RNA". Lineage: Eukaryota; Viridiplantae; Streptophyta; Magnoliopsida; Poales; Poaceae. The record is from RNAcentral.